RNAcentral lists this ribosomal RNA (560 nucleotides) under Bacillus cereus. RNAcentral describes it as "bacterial SSU rRNA". It matches the Rfam family "Bacterial small subunit ribosomal RNA", at positions 474 to 1032 of the family's 1533-position model. Lineage: Bacteria; Bacillati; Bacillota; Bacilli; Caryophanales; Bacillaceae. The record is from RNAcentral.
GGUACAUGACAAGCAAGCUACGGUGAACUGCGUGCCAGCGGCCGCGGUAAUAUGUGGGUGGCUAGCGUUAUCUGCAGUUAUUGGGCGUAAAGCUCGUGUAGGUGGUUAGUUAAGUCUGAUGUUAAAUCCCACGACUCAACCGUGGGGGGUCAUUGGAUGCUGGGAGACUUGAGUGCAGAAGAUGAGAGUGGAUUUCAAUUUGUAGAGAUGAAAUGUGUAGAGAUAUGGAGGAACAUCAGUGGAGAAGGCGACUUUAGGGACUGUAACUGACACUGAGGGGCGAAAGCGUGGAGAGCAAACAGGAUUAGAUACCCUGGUAGUCCACGGGGUAAACAAUGAGUGCUAAGUGUUAGAGGGUUUCCGCCCUGUAGUGCUGAAGUUAACGCAUUAAGCACUCCGCCUGGGGAGUACGGCCGCAAGGCUGAAACUCAAAGGAAUUGACGGGGGCCCGCACAAGCGGUGGAGCAUGUGGUUUAAUUCGAAGCAACGCGAAGACCCUUACCAGGUCUUGACAUCCUCUGAAAACCCUAGAGAUAGGGCUUCUCCUUCGGGAGCAGAGU